Marmota monax (woodchuck) is the source of this 1613-nucleotide long non-coding RNA. RefSeq lists it as uncharacterized. The record is from RefSeq and is a predicted model, not a curated record. The transcript is spliced from 5 exons. NCBI's taxonomy places the organism in Eukaryota, Metazoa, Chordata, Mammalia, Rodentia, Sciuridae.
UUAUCCUCGGCUAACUUUUCAAGGAUGUUUAUGUGGUGAACAGACUUGGAAAGUAGAGACAAUGUCUCCUUAAGAGCAGAGGGCAGGUUUUUGGUUGUGCAAUAUUAAUAAAGAUAAUACCACCAUCUGGGGCAAAGAUCAGGCAGGCUUACUGCCCAUUACAAAAAGACUAGAUUUCUUAAGCUUGGGGUACCUCGUCUGUAUCCCUGGCACUGUAUGCAGGCAGCAGCUGGCCCCCAGCUUCAGCCUGUGGGAAUGGGAGAUUGGAAGAAAGGUGCAAAUGCUGGCUCUCUGGCUACUACUGCUGCUGCAGUGGUCUGGGACCUGGGAACUUUGUGCCUUCUGCUGUGAGCCAAUGGCAGACAAACUUGGGGGUUUGCAAGCAGAAUUUCCUGGAUAUUUGGAGAAUUCUGAAAGUAAUAUUUCCCAACAAUCCUAAGCUCCCUUGGCAAUUUCAAUGUGCAGCCAGCCAAGGUAAAGAACCACAGCAUGGAGGACUAAUUUGUCAGUACUACAGACCUUGGUCUCAGGAGCUGAGUGCAGAAGGGUGGAAGCAGUUUCAGGAGUUGGUGAGGACACAGAGAAAAAAAAGGCUCUUAAUCUGCAGUUUUGAGUUCUACUGAAGUGAAGGUCUUGGUAUUCAAGAGAAGAAUGCUUCCAACAGGGGACACAACAAUGGUUGCAUGAAUUAGAAAACAGAUUGCCAGUUGGCAUUUUGGGGCUCUUCAUGCUACUGAACCAAGAGGCAAAGAAAAGAGAUUGCUCUACAGGACGUAUUGAUCCCUAUCAGCUAGGAACUGGACUUACACAAUGGUAGAAAAGAGGAGUGUCUGCAACCCAGAAGAUUCUCUGGGUAUCUCUCAACACUUGUAAGUUUAAUAGUAAAAGUUAAUGAAAACUACAACAGCAGAAAUAUGCAGAACCACUGAAGAAUCAGAUCCUUAUGAGGUUUGGGUUGCCUUGUCAGGAAAAGCAUCUCAGCCAGCUGAGGUUCUUGCUGAGAGAUCAUAGAGUAUGGAAUAAGGAAACCAUAACCAUCAACUUUAUGGCUUUGUGACCAUUUCAUUUCCACUCACAAGGAUUACAGCAGCUAUGCAUGUUUUCUUCUUGCUUUUUAAAAAAAUGCACAAGCAUGUAUACACAAGCACACUAACUUCUUUAUUCUUCCAUUCUUGUCCUAAUGUUAUUAUUACUAUUACUCUCAGCUUCACACUCUGUGAUGAUGGAAUAGGAUCUCGCAAAUCCUUUAUCUCCUUUGCCGCAUGACACCCUGUUAGACUCUGUCAACAGGGGGAGCUAGGGAGAGACUGCAAGGCAGCAUAGGGAAGGAGGGGCUGCUGCAUCUUUUAUAUGUCACAUGAAGCAGGUCUUCAUCCUUACAGCAACAGGUGAUUAUAGCAGUAGCAGUGUUCCCACACUAUGAGAACCAGCCACAUUGGUCCCCUCAGAUCACUUGUUGGACAGUGACAUUACUGAGAAGUCUGGGUUUCAAUUUUAUAAGGCCCCUUUCAAGGCUACAAGCUAACAAUCACAUCUUUUUGUUCUUUAAGUUUUAGGAGUGGUAGACACUUCUUAAAGUGUGUCUCUGGGACACUGCUCUGUCUCCCUUUUGC